UGCCAGACUCCUACGGGAGGCAGCAGUGGGGGAUAUUGCACAAUGGGGGGAACCCUGAUGCAGCGACGCCGCGUGGGUGAAGAAGCGCCUCGGCGCGUAAAGCCCUGUCAGCAGGGAAGAAAAUGACGGUACCUGAAGAAGAAGCCCCGGCUAACUACGUGCCAGCAGCCGCGGUAAUACGUAGGGGGCAAGCGUUAUCCGGAUUCACUGGGUGUAAAGGGAGCGUAGACGGCCGUGCAAGCCAGGAGUGAAAGCCCGGGGGCCAACCCCGGGACUGCUCUUGGAACUGGGCGGCUAGAGUGCGGGAGGGGCAGGCGGAAUUCCUGGGGUAGCGGUGAAAUGCGUAGAUAUCAGGAGGAACACCGGCGGCGAAGGCGGCCUGCUGGACCGCGACUGACGUUGAGGCUCGAAAGCGUGGGGAGCGAACA
Molecule: ribosomal RNA, 428 nt
Filed under: uncultured bacterium
Lineage: Bacteria
Description: partial 16S ribosomal RNA
Rfam family: Bacterial small subunit ribosomal RNA
Source: RNAcentral